This 252-nucleotide ribosomal RNA is filed under the name uncultured bacterium. Its description in RNAcentral is "partial 16S ribosomal RNA". It matches the Rfam family "Bacterial small subunit ribosomal RNA", at positions 524 to 776 of the family's 1533-position model. The record is from RNAcentral.
UACGGAGGAUGCGAGCGUUAUCCGGAUUUAUUGGGUUUAAAGGGUGCGUAGGCGGGUUAUCAAGUCAGCGGUAAAAUCGUGGAGCUCAACUUCAUCCAGCCGUUGAAACUGAUGAUCUUGAGUGGGCGAGGAGUAUGCGGAAUGCGUGGUGUAGCGGUGAAAUGCAUAGAUAUCACGCAGAACUCCGAUUGCGAAGGCAGCAUACCGGCGCCCGACUGACGCUGAAGCACGAAAGCGUGGGUAUCGAACAGG